RNAcentral lists this long non-coding RNA (548 nucleotides) under Elaeis guineensis (African oil palm). Its description in RNAcentral is "long non-coding RNA (EGUI_LNC008020)". The record is from RNAcentral. Lineage: Eukaryota; Viridiplantae; Streptophyta; Magnoliopsida; Arecales; Arecaceae.
UAACAAUGGUUGUGAAGGAAUUUAUUAAUAACUAUAAGUCAUAGAAGCAGAGUCUUAUGCAAAUAGGAAGAUCAUUACAAAACAAUUGGCAGUUCCGCGGUUACAGUUGAUCAUCAGCAUGAUCACUUGUUAAUUGCCCAUUGGCAAACCAGGAUUCAGUGGAUUACAGAUGAGCUCAGUUGCUGAAUAUUAAAUCUACCAACUUGCACAGAUAUAUGCCAUUUUAUAAGAUGCCAUGGAAUAGUGGGGAAUAAUGACAAGAACCCAGGGCCAUUGAGCUUAGAGAGUUGGGCACCUAAUAAAGUCUUUGAAGAAGAAGGCUGUCCCUUCAGUGACAAGUGAAAUGAGCUGGUGGUCCAUAACCUUCCUACAGCAUCAACAUUAUUGGUUCAGCUUCAAUUAAACUAUUAACUUUGAUAUGGAAAUAAUCGCCAUAAAAGGUUCGAUGAAGCUACAAUUAGCUCCAAUUUUGGACCACAUCAAAGCAAUCCAAGCUGUUUGAAAGCGAUGCCUCAUGCUAUGCCUUCGCACGAUCUAAUCCAGCAAAG